CCUACGGGGGGCAGCAGUGGGGAAUAUUGCACAAUGGGGGAAACCCUGAUGCAGCGACGCCGCGUGAGUGAAGAAGUAAUUCGUUAUGUAAAGCUCUAUCAGCAGGGAAGAAAAUGACGGUACCUGAGUAAGAAGCCCCGGCUAACUACGUGCCAGCAGCCGCGGUAAUACGUAGGGGGCAAGCGUUAUCCGGAUUUACUGGGGGUAAAGGGAGCGUAGACGGCAGUGCAAGUCUGGAUGGAAAGGCGGGGGCUCAACCCCCGGACUGCUCUGGAAACUGUACGGCCGGAGUGCAGGAGAGGGAAGUGGAAUUCCUAGAGGAGCGGUGGAAUGCGUAGAUAUUAGGAGGAAAACCAGUGGCGAAGGCGGCUUACUGGACUGUAACUGACGUUGAGGCUCGAAAGCGUGGGGAGCAAACAGGAUUAGAUACCCCAGUAGUC
Molecule: ribosomal RNA, 440 nt
Filed under: uncultured bacterium
Lineage: Bacteria
Description: partial 16S ribosomal RNA
Rfam family: Bacterial small subunit ribosomal RNA
Source: RNAcentral